Quercus lobata is the source of this 974-nucleotide long non-coding RNA. RefSeq lists it as uncharacterized. NCBI's taxonomy places the organism in Eukaryota, Viridiplantae, Streptophyta, Magnoliopsida, Fagales, Fagaceae. The record is from RefSeq and is a predicted model, not a curated record. The transcript is spliced from 4 exons.
UUGCAAAUGUUUCUCUCUGUCUCAAAUGCUCCCUUUCCUUUCUCUCUCUCUCUCACCCCGGACCUUAUUGCCAAAUACAGCCAUUGCCGUGCUUCGUUGGUCCAGCGAGAUCGGAAUUUGUAUCCUCUGAAAACCUUGAAAAUCAACUUUAUUCUAUUUCUAGCGUCAUCGUCAAAACCCGCACCACUAUCUUAGUCACCAAUUCCGACACUCAACGACGCAAAGGGGGAUGUGAUGCUUCUGUUCUAUUCGGUUUGUUGAAGGAGUUGAUUCCAAUAGUUAGUCUCUUUCUAAAAGUCUCCACUAAGAUGAGACUAUUGAGAAGAAGUGGAAAAGAUGAGAAGAAGUGUAAAAUAUGCAACUAGUUCACUAGCUUUGCAAGCUAGUUCUAUGAGACAUGGGCCCUACCACAAGAUUCUGAAGAAUGAUGGAAAACGUUUUUGGACAGUUUUUUGGAAUAGCAAACUGCACAGAUGUAUGCACAACUAGUGGACAAUAUUUUUGGGCAACAUAUUUGACUUGGACAGUUUUUUAGAUGGCAUAUCUAACAAUUUGGACAAUUGAUACCUUUUGUAACAACUCUUUUGGAUAAAUUCUGUAACUAAUGUGGCUAAACAAAAAUGUUAGAUUUUAUAUGAAAAUGAUGAAUAUUUUUAAAUGUAAUAAAGUUCAUUUCUAUACGUGCAUCUUUGAAUAAGACAAUUGUGGAUGAAGGCCAUAAAAUUCAUUAAGGGAGAGGCUGAUAAUUUUGGAGGGUGAUUCCAGUUCCUCCAAUCUAGACAAUUUGGAAAUAGUCUUGGAGAUGACUUCGGAGUUCUCAUUUUCUUUUGCUAAAAAUUAACCUUACAAAGGACUUUUGUUCAAUAUGAGCAAAAUUUAAUUGUAUUAAGAUGAACUAAAUACAUUGAUGUGCUCUCUAAUUUGUGUUGCCAAAAUGUUUAGCCAUUCAAUCUUCAAUUUUUCUCAAAUCCAAC